This 637-nucleotide long non-coding RNA is filed under the name Malus domestica (apple). RNAcentral describes it as "long non-coding RNA (MDOM_LNC007099)". The record is from RNAcentral. Lineage: Eukaryota; Viridiplantae; Streptophyta; Magnoliopsida; Rosales; Rosaceae.
GCUCUCGAGAUUCGGAGAGCGGUGUCUCUUCGAUUUUUGAGAAAGUAAUCAUGUUGGGAGUCUGGCUCUCGAGAUUCGGAGGGCGGUGCCUCUUCGAUUUUGGAGCAAGCAAUCUUGUUGGGAGUGUUUUCUCGAAUGUGAGUAAAGGUUGGACGUGUUUGCUAGUCUACCUUGCCACGAAGCACAGAGGUUGACACACAGGGACUUUCCAAUUAUCCAGCAGUGGUAUUGUUCCUUUACCCUCUCUUCGAUUUUUGAGAAAGUAAUCAUGUUGGGAGUCUGGCUCUCGAGAUUCGGAAGGCGGUGCCUCUUCGAUUUUGGAGCAAGCAAUCUUGUUGGGAGUGUUUUUCUCGAAUGUGAGUAAAGGUUGGGCAUGUUUGCUAGUCUACCUUGCCACGAAACACAAAGGUUGACACACAGGGACUUUCCAAUUAUCCAGCAGUGGUACUGUUCCUUUACCCUCUCUUCGAUUUUUGAGAAAGUAAUCAUGUUGGGAGUCUGGCUCUCGAGAUUCGGAGGGCGGUGCCUCUUCGAUUUUGGAGCAAGCAAUCUUGUUGGGAGUGUUUUCUCGAAUGUGAGUACAGGUUGGGCAUGUUUGCUAGUCUACCUUGCCACGAAGCACAGAGGUUGACACACC